UUGUAUUCAGUUAAACCAAACAGCACCCUUAGUCUUUAAUUACAAAUCCUAUCAAAUAAAAAGAACCAAGAUAAUAUGCUACAAAACACAUUUAAUACUUGCUAAUUCAGUGACUAAUCAGCAAGAAAGCUUAACAACCAAAUGAAACCCAACAAAAACCUAAAGAAUCAGCUCCAUCUCGCAAACAAAAUAUGAGGCAUAAUUAGUCAUUCACGAGCAUAAUAAAAAUUAAAAUCCACACCAACAGUGUAAGCAAAGAAAUGGACCUUGGAAUAGAAGAAUCAAAUUUCCUUGAAAGCUUUAAAAUGUAUAUGGACUUCCAAGUAGAAACCAAACAGAGCUGAUGAAUUCGAAGCGGAACCAAUCAAAUUUCCUUGAAAGCCAAACUGAAUUCGGACUCACCUCAACAACAUUUCAAUCAAAUUCCAUAUUUGAGAAUCAAAAUUCAAAUGAGAAAGAAGAAACGGAAAUCUCUUAUUUUGUUUUUACAAAAACAAUUACAUUCCAUCUCCUCUGCUCAUGACCUCCUUUGUUCUUCCCCAUUUUCUCCUCUUGUCUCUACAGUGUUGUGCUCUAUUUUGGACUCAUUUGCUAUUGUUGGAAACAUAAAAGCAAAAGAAAGAAAAUGGUGGAAAAAGGGAUGAGAUGAGCGGCGUUGGGGAUUUUCGCUACUAUCUUGUCCUUCUUGUCACUGGCAGAAAAUGGGGCGUCGUUCCCCUUUUUGUUCUGUAUGUUGUAUGUUGCUAUUGUUGUUUCUUUUUCUUAGGAGUGAUUGGUCACUAGGUCUAUAUGUGGUGAAAGGAGGAAGAAGGAGUCCUUGUGGGGGGUGACGUUGUGUAUAUGUGUAGGGU
Molecule: long non-coding RNA, 851 nt
Filed under: Nicotiana benthamiana
Lineage: Eukaryota; Viridiplantae; Streptophyta; Magnoliopsida; Solanales; Solanaceae
Description: long non-coding RNA (NBEN_LNC003164)
Source: RNAcentral